AACUUUUGACGGUGGAUCUCUUGGCUCACGCAUCGAUGAAGAACGCAGGCAGCUGCGAUAAGUAGUGUGAAUUGCAGAAUUCAGUGAAUCAUCGAAUCUUUGAACGCAAAUGGCGCUCUUGGGUUCUCCCAGGAGCAUGUCUGUCUGAGUGUCGGAU
RNAcentral lists this ribosomal RNA (157 nucleotides) under Orbicella franksi. RNAcentral describes it as "putative 5.8S ribosomal RNA". It matches the Rfam family "5.8S ribosomal RNA". From Rfam's summary of the family: 5.8S ribosomal RNA (5.8S rRNA) is a component of the large subunit of the eukaryotic ribosome. Lineage: Eukaryota; Metazoa; Cnidaria; Anthozoa; Scleractinia; Merulinidae. The record is from RNAcentral.